This 258-nucleotide ribosomal RNA is filed under the name uncultured bacterium. RNAcentral describes it as "partial 16S ribosomal RNA". It matches the Rfam family "Bacterial small subunit ribosomal RNA", at positions 524 to 776 of the family's 1533-position model. The record is from RNAcentral.
UACAGAGGUCCCAAGCGUUGUUCGGAUUCACUGGGCGUAAAGGGUGCGCAGGUGGGUUGGCAAGUUCGAUGUGAAAGCCCCGGGCUUAACCCGGGAAUGGCAUUGGAAACUGCUGAUCUGGAGGAUCGGAGGGGGGACUGGAAUUCCGGGUGGAGCGGUGAAAUGCGUAGAGAUCCGGAGGAACACCGACGGCGUAGGCAGCGCCCUGGCUGUGAAUAAAGCUGACACUGAGGCACGAAAGCUGGGGGAGCAAACAGG